This 766-nucleotide ribosomal RNA is filed under the name uncultured Streptococcus sp. RNAcentral's name for it is "bacterial SSU rRNA". It matches the Rfam family "Bacterial small subunit ribosomal RNA", at positions 28 to 776 of the family's 1533-position model. The record is from RNAcentral. Lineage: Bacteria; Bacillati; Bacillota; Bacilli; Lactobacillales; Streptococcaceae.
GACGAACGCUGGCGGCGUGCCUAAUACAUGCAAGUAGAACGCUGAAGAGAGGAGCCUGCUCUUCUUGGAUGAGUUGCGAACGGGUGAGUAACGCGUAGGUAACCUGCCUUGUAGCGGGGGAUAACUAUUGGAAACGAUAGCUAAUACCGCAUAACAAUGGAUGACACAUGUCAUUUAUUUGAAAGGGGCAAUUGCUCCACUACAAGAUGGACCUGCGUUGUAUUAGCUAGUAGGUGAGGUAACGGCUCACCUAGGCGACGAUACAUAGCCGACCUGAGAGGGUGAUCGGCCACACUGGGACUGAGACACGGCCCAGACUCCUACGGGAGGCAGCAGUAGGGAAUCUUCGGCAAUGGGGGCAACCCUGACCGAGCAACGCCGCGUGAGUGAAGAAGGUUUUCGGAUCGUAAAGCUCUGUUGUAAGUCAAGAACGAGUGUGAGAGUGGAAAGUUCACACUGUGACGGUAGCUUACCAGAAAGGGACGGCUAACUACGUGCCAGCAGCCGCGGUAAUACGUAGGUCCCGAGCGUUGUCCGGAUUUAUUGGGCGUAAAGCGAGCGCAGGCGGUUUGAUAAGUCUGAAGUUAAAGGCUGUGGCUCAACCAUAGUUCGCUUUGGAAACUGUCAAACUUGAGUGCAGAAGGGGAGAGUGGAAUUCCAUGUGUAGCGGUGAAAUGCGUAGAUAUAUGGGAGGAACACCGGUGGCGAAAGCGGCUCUCUGGUCUGUAACUGACGCUGAGGCUCGAAAGCGUGGGGAGCGAACAGG